Molecule: long non-coding RNA, 557 nt
Organism: Leopardus geoffroyi (Geoffroy's cat)
Lineage: Eukaryota; Metazoa; Chordata; Mammalia; Carnivora; Felidae
Exons: 5
Source: RefSeq, a predicted model, not a curated record
UUUACAGGAAGAGACUGAGGCAGAGAGGGAAGAAACAGAUUGAUGAAGGAGCCACAAAUGAGUCAUUGUUCGAGGCUGGGACGUGAAGAUUUUAUAAGAAAAGCCGGUGGGCUCCGAGACAAAGUUAAAAAGCUGCAAGUGUCCCCCACAAACUUCUGGAUCUACUGUAUCCCCAGCAGACCCUCACCUCCCUGCCUCUGAGGUCAGAGGCCACCUUGAACGGUGGGUCCAAGGAAAUUAAGUAUGAAUCAAAGCUCAGCAACGUGCAUCCAUAUGGAAUUUCGGAGCCUUUAUGUCCACUGCAGAAUUUAACAAAGCUGAGAAGACCAAGAAGAAGCAACACCCCAAUAGCAAUGUGCACAGCUAGGACCAAGAUCUUGGUUAGUGAACUGGGCUUCUAGAAGAAAUUGCUGACUUCAGUGCCACAGCAGGAAGUAAGCAAGAUGAGCCUGGAUCAGAAAGACUCAUCAGACUCUUGGUUUCAGCUCAGGUCACGAUCCCACGGGUUGUGAGAUCAAGCCCCACGUCAGGCACUGCAGUUAUAGCAUGGAGCCUGC